Haliotis rufescens (red abalone) is the source of this 573-nucleotide long non-coding RNA. RefSeq lists it as uncharacterized. The transcript has 2 exons. Lineage: Eukaryota; Metazoa; Mollusca; Gastropoda; Lepetellida; Haliotidae. The record is from RefSeq and is a predicted model, not a curated record.
UAUGAUGUUUUAUUGAUUGACAAUAUUUAUAGCUCUAGGUCUAGUUACAGUUGUAGAAUAUGAUGUCUUAUUGAUUGACAAUAUUUAUAGCUCUAGGUCUAGUUACAGUUGUAGAAUAUGAUGUUUUAUUGAUUGACAAUAUUUAUAGCUCUAGGUCUAGUAACAGUUGUAGAAUAUGAUGUUUUAUUGAUUGACAAUAUUUAUAGCUCUAGGUCUAGUUACAGUUGUAGAAUAUGAUGUUUUAUUGAUUGACAAUAUUUAUAGCUCUAGGUCUAGUAACAGUUGUAGAAUAUGAUGUUUUAUUGAUUGACAAUAUUUAUAGCUCUAGGUCUAGUUACAGUUGUAGAAUAUGAUGUUUUAUUGAUUGACAAUAUCUAUAGCUCUAGGUCUAGUUACAGUUGUAGAAUAUGAUGUUUUAUUGUCCCUGACGUUAUGCAUUACACGAAGUAGCAACAUGUGAUACGAUAUCAGCUACUUCUUUAUUUGUCUGAUAUGACUGAAGAGGUUUAAUAAAAGUGUAUCGGGAUGAUGUUGCGUAUAUCAUGCAUGUCUGCCAGGGAUGCAUUUUAGUUA